GGAAAUAUAGCUCAGCAACACAGCAUCUGCCUGACAAGCACAAGUCUCUGAGUUUGAUUCCCAGUACCA
Molecule: non-coding RNA, 69 nt
Organism: Fukomys damarensis (Damara mole-rat)
Lineage: Eukaryota; Metazoa; Chordata; Mammalia; Rodentia; Bathyergidae
Source: Rfam